Molecule: ribosomal RNA, 460 nt
Filed under: uncultured bacterium
Lineage: Bacteria
Description: partial 16S ribosomal RNA
Rfam family: Bacterial small subunit ribosomal RNA
Source: RNAcentral
CCUACGGGAGGCAGCAGUGAGGAAUAUUGGUCAAUGGACGAGAGUCUGAACCAGCCAAGUAGCGUGAAGGAUGACUGCCCUAUGGGUUGUAAACUUCUUUUAUAUGGGAAUAAAAUGUUCCACGUGUGGGAUUUUGUAUGUACCAUAUGAAUAAGGAACGGCUAACUCCGUGCCAGCAGCCGCGGUAAUACGGAGGAGCCGAGCGUUAUCCGGAUUUAGUGGGUUUAAAGGGAGCGUAGGUGGAUUGUUAAGUCAGUUGUGAAAGUUUGCGGCUCAACCGUAAAAUUGCAGUUGAAACUGGCAGUCUUGAGUACAGUAGAGGUGGGCGGAAUUCGUGGUGUAGCGGUGAAAUGCUUAGAUAUCACGAAGAACUCCGAUUGCGAAGGCAGCUCACUGGACUGCAACUGACACUGAGGCUCGAAAGUGUGGGUAUCAAACAGGAUUAGAUACCCCGGUAGUC